This 292-nucleotide ribosomal RNA is filed under the name uncultured bacterium. Its description in RNAcentral is "partial 16S ribosomal RNA". It matches the Rfam family "Bacterial small subunit ribosomal RNA", at positions 505 to 796 of the family's 1533-position model. The record is from RNAcentral.
GUGUCAUCCGCCGCGGUAAUACAGGGGGUGCAAACGUUGCUCGGAAUUAUUGGGCGUAAAGCGCGCGUAGGCGGCUACUUAAGUCGGAUGUGAAAGCCCCUGGCUCAACUGGGGAAGUGCACCCGAAACUGAGUGGCUUGAGUGCGAAAGAGGGUCGCGGAAUUCCCGGUGUAGAGGUGAAAUUCGUAGAUAUCGGGAGGAACACCGGUGGCGAAGGCGGCGACCUGGGUCGACACUGACGCUGAGGCGCGAAAGCGUGGGGAGCAAACAGGAUUAGAUACCCCUGUAGUCC